RNAcentral lists this ribosomal RNA (468 nucleotides) under uncultured bacterium. RNAcentral describes it as "partial 16S ribosomal RNA". It matches the Rfam family "Bacterial small subunit ribosomal RNA", at positions 28 to 507 of the family's 1533-position model. The record is from RNAcentral.
GACGAACGCUGGCGGCGUGCUUAACACAUGCAAGUCGAACGGAAAGGCCCUGCUUUUGUGGGGUGCUCGAGUGGCGAACGGGUGAGUAACACGUGAGUAACCUGCCCUUGACUUUGGGAUAACUUCAGGAAACUGGGGCUAAUACCGGAUAGGAGCUCCUGCUGCAUGGUGGGGGUUGGAAAGUUUCGGCGGGUGGGGAUGGACUCGCGGCUUAUCAGCUUGUUGGUGGGGUAGUGGCUUACCAAGGCUUUGACGGGUAGCCGGCCUGAGAGGGUGACCGGCCACAUUGGGACUGAGAUACGGCCCAGACUCCUACGGGAGGCAGCAGUGGGGAAUAUUGCACAAUGGGCGGAAGCCUGAUGCAGCAACGCCGCGUGCGGGAUGACGGCCUUCGGGUUGUAAACCGCUGUCGCCUGUGACGAAGCGUGAGUGACGGUAAUGGGUAAAGAAGCACCGGCUAACUACGUG